CCCUCCGCUCCGGAGCCCAGCGCACCAGUGGACCACCACGGAUACCACCACGGAUGCCCCCAAGACUCCAGCCUAAUGCGCAGGGACAUUGCUGGCCACCCACCACCCAGAGCCUGCCACCCUUCCAGCUGGUGGCCCAGCUUUGACUCAGGAGCCACGUGCCAGCCCAGAAGUCUCCAGGUUGCUCCUAACGUGGCUGGAACACGCGGAUGGGAGGUGGCGUGGGUCGGCGUCCUGCUGGACCUCGGUAGGCGACGCUCUGAUCAGUGAGGCUGAGAGCGCGGAGGUCCUCGAUGGGGUCUCAAUGGUGCGGACCCCCCAACACUAGACCCCUUCUCUGAUUGUCUGCCAGCUGGAUUCUUCCCAUUCUGGCCUGGGACCUGUGAGUGUGAGAACUGAAUGACACUGCAUCAGACGACCGAGGAUGAGAUGGCUGGAUGGCAUCACUGACUCGAUGGACAUGAGUUUGAGUAAACUCCGUGAGUUGGUGAUGGACAGGGAGGCCCGGUGUGCUGCAGUCCAUGGGGUCGCAAAGAGUCGGACACGACUGAGCGGCUGAACAGAACUGACCUGAUACGCCAUCACCUGAUGUACUGCGGAAAGGUACCCACUCCCCCACUGAGGGGCAUCUUGAGGCUUCCCCAUGUUGGCCAUGAUGAAUAAGCUGCCGGACUCAUCCAGGAGCAGGUUUUUGCGUGGAAGUUUCCAGCUCUUUGGGGUUAGGAGCCAAGGAUCGCGGUGGCUGAACUGCGUGGUGGGUGUGUGUGCCGUGUCAUAAGAUGCCGCCUCGCGCUCCCACCAGCCAUGAGGCGGUAUCUGCUGGUGUUAGUGUUUCGGUUUGGGCCUUACAGACGUGUAGGGACAUAGUUCUUUUAUUUUAGGCAAACAUUUUCAUGUGUUAGAUCUGACAUCCUGACAUGGGCCCCCCCACUCCAGAGCUUGGUGCCAGGGAGGCCCAGCAGUGGCCCGGGGAAGGAGGCGCCCCCACACACAGUGAGGAAGAGGGUGGGCAGGAGCCCUCCCGGGGGGCAGCCUCCCCGCUGUGCUUUGCAAGCCAGACUGGGGAGCCGGGGCUUCUUCCUGAGAGUAGUGGGCGCCCCUGGAGGGCUCCAAGUUGGGCGGUGCGCGGGGGAGGGAAGAUAAGAUGAGCCUGGAAGUGCCUUGGGGCUGCUGCUGAGAACCACAGUGCCUGAACGAGAUGCAAGAGUGAGACGCACUGGACCGGCUGGGGAAGGUGCAGGGAGCAGGGGGGCAGAGGUGGGAGGGGGCUGUGGUUUUACAGGAGGCCGUCAGAGAGCCUCAGAGAGCCUCACGGAGGAGCCGGCAUUCCCAGGGAACGCAGAGGCCGCGUGCGAAGGCCCCCAGCCACGUGACAGAGGCAGAGGGCGGGGUGGAGGGGCGAGCCCCGGGCCGCAGGUCUCCCCAGGUUCACAGGCCCAGAGGCCGAGAGGGUCUCUCCCUCCUGGGGUCGGGGCGGGGGGGCUUCAUCACAGAAUACAACUGAGUAAAUCAUUGGCCACUGACCCUGCGCUCACCCUCUGGCCUGUCUCCCCUCCUCGAGGCGGUGGGGGUCCUGGAGUCCCUCCCGAUUCAGAGCAGGCUCUCCUGCCGUCAGCUCCCUUCCCUGGGUCUUUUCCCAAAGCUUCCCUGUGAACGUCACCCCAGCAGCACAGAAAAGGGACUUGCUGUGAACAUAAAUGACUAGGCACCCGUGUCUGCUUCACGACUCUCGGGGGGUUCAGGAGCUGGGGAGAAGACAGCAGGGGCUGUAACCAGGGGCGCUGUCGUGGAUCUCACUGCUGGGGGCUUCAGGGGAGGGAGGUGUGGGCCGGGGGCUGGGGGCAGCACCAGACAUAUGGGUCUCAUGAAUCUCAGCAUCACGGCCUGGUCUUGUAACCUGGGAGACUCCAAAUGUUCCAGAAAGUUCCGAGGGCCGUUCUGAAGAGGGAGGUGGAGCCCAGUACCCUCCGAUGGAGGGUACGUGCAGUCAAGCACACGUCUCGUGGAAGAUGUUUCUAGCCAUGAGGAGGUGCAGGAAGCCGGGUUUACGGCAUGUUCUCCUGGAGGGCGGUCUGCAGGCCAGCCCUGCCAGCUUUCCCAGGGCGCCUCAUCCUGCCCUUUGUCCUCAGCUCCUGCAGGGCGUGUUGCUGGCCAGCGCCGGUGGUGGGUGAUGACUUCAUUCCUGUAGAACUGGAUGGUGGGCAACAUUCCUUAUUUUACAGUCCCUUCCUCUUCCGUCUUCACUUCAGUCAAGGCUCCGAGGGCGCCGUGUGACCAGCCUGUUCCGUGGCGAGGAUUUCCGUGACGGGUGGCUCGGGUUAUGUAACUGGACUGGACCCUGUCACCCCAGGCCUUGGGACCACCAGUCUGACUCCUCUGUCAUGGGGCUGGGAAACGGGCUGCUCUUGCCGCCUCUUUCUGCCCCUAGAGUUUUACUCGGUUACAGUGAUUGAUCUGACUGAACUGUCCAUCUGGUCAAUCCUUUCAAGUCGUCUGUAAUCAUCAUUCAUUUUAUCUGGGGCUCAAUCACGUUCUUUUUGAUCAAAGAAACAAUCGUCUUGUAAAAUAGGCGGAAUACACGUAAUAUAACGAGGGGCGUUAAUAAGGUCAUGAGCGUGUCUUUAAGCUCAGAAUGUCUGUUAGGCGUGGCCCUCUAUCUCCCCCGGUCAUCUGGCCAGUCUGUUCUGUACCAGUUGCUAUCUUUAAGGGAAAUGAUAUACUGCUCAUAAAGUCCACCAAAGAUGUCUGCACGUCCAAGGCCAGCGAUGGGUCAUCAUGACCCCUUACAGGACCGAGAAAGGAAUGUUAUCUUCUAAAGAGUUACAUGGUUGACGUCAAGACAAGAAAAAUAGAUUUUUAUGGUUGAGCAGGUAUUCCUUUCCUUGGGGAGGUCUGGUUAAUGCAUAAUGCAGAUGCAUAAUGCCCGCCAGAGGGGAGCGGGGAGGCCAAAGGGCAGGGGGAAAAAAAUGUCAUGUUAAAAUUUUCCUUGCCUUGCUUGAGAACUUGAAUUUUUUUCUUCAGGUGUCUGCCGUCCAUGUUUAGAGGUACUGGUGUGGCCUGGCUGGAGGACGUCCGCUGAGCCCCGCAGAAAAAGAGCCGCUGCCAGACUGUGUGGCUUUAUGCUUCCAGCAGAGACGUGGGCCCCUCCUCGCUGGCCGUUUGGACGCUCAGUCUUUUUGACUUCAGCUUCUCUCCUAGAGUGGCGUCCUGUGACUCCAUUUUGCUUUUCCCCGGGCUCAUGCUUUCCAUAUCGAAUGUAGGAGACCUUCGCGUUGUCUGAAUUCACAGAGAUUCUCCCCUGAGUUUUUAUGGCUCUAGUUUUACAUGAUCGGUGACAGCCACGAAGAGUCUGGGCCAGUUUUCUUGAAGAGGAUCUCACAAUCAAAUCGGCUGGACAGUUUCUUCACGGUCAGACCCAGGCUGAACUCUGGGGCCAGAUUACGGCCUCAGUGGCACUGGGUCCUCUGGGCUCUUCACGGCCAGCUGCCCGAGGCCUGAGGCUCUCGCUGGUGAUGGUGCUGAGACUGAUCACCAGCUUCAGAUGAGGCUCACCAGUAUUCUGUUUCCAGAGAAAACUAAAGGUGUUUGGGUUUCCUGGACACAUGUCUUAUACCACAUCGAGAAAAUAAAUCAUGCUGAGCGGGAACGGACGUUUCUAGAGGUUACAGAAUAGGUUUACAAGUCUGCCCGCCAGGAGACAUCGCGAUGACAAGCAGUUCACGGUUGCUUGCUUCUUGGUUUUUGCUAAAGAUUCAGGUUUUUCUAAGGGCUACAAAUUAUAGUAUAUAUGUAAUUAAAGCUACUUUAACCUGGAUGCCCAUCGACAGAUGAAUGGGCAAAGAAGCUGUGGUACAUACACACGAUGGGAUACUACUUAGCCGUAAAGAUGAACACAUUGGAGUCGGUUCUAAUGAGGUGGAUGAACCGAGAGCCUGUUAUACAGAGUGAAGUAAGCCAGAAGGAGGAAAACCACUAUCGUAUAUUAACGCGUGUACGUGGAGUCCAGAAAGAUGGUGCUGAUGAACCCCUUCUCAGGGCAGCAGCGGAGAUGCAGACGUAGAGGGCAGACUCGUGGGCCCAGAGGACGACGCGAGGGCGGGACGCAUGGACGGAGCAGCCUGGAGACGUGCACACCGCCGCGUGUGAGACAGGCGGCGGGCAUCCGCUGUGUGACGCAGGGGCUCACGCCCGGUGCUCUGGGACGACCUGGAGGGGUGGGAUGGAGGAGGCGGGAGGGAGGGCACGCACGCAUACCUGUGGCCAGUUCAUGUCGCUGUGCGGCAGAGACCAGCACAGCGUUGUACAGCAGUCGUCCCCCAGUUAAAAAUAAAUACAUUUUUAAAAAGCUACCUUAAAAAGGGAAACAUUUCAGCACAUAAGGAGGAAACUAUGAAGGAAAAGAAUAAGAUGCAUGUUUUCAGUAAAAUAAGGUAUGAAAAAUGGCAAUAAAUUAAGGGCAAAGACUGUGAUGUUGUCCUGAAGAAUUUUAAAGAGAGAUUUUUGUGUGGCAGGAAGCAGCACAACAUUGUAAAGCAAAUAUCCUUUAAUUAAAGAUAAAUAAAUUUAAAAAAUAAAGAUAUUAAACUAAUUAGGCUUAUUAGGAUGUUAAAUUACAUGGGAAAUAUUAUCAAACAAAAAACAACAUUAAGCCUUCUUUAUGUUAUGUCUAUAUAAAUAUAUUAUACAUUAUGUGUUCCAGAAAUUAUAUGAAAUUCCUGGAAGCUUUGUGUGUCCUGACAUAAAAUGUUAUCUGACAUAAAAACUGAGGCUCCCACUGAAGGGGCUGAACCCAAGAAUCAGGGUA
This is a long non-coding RNA of Bubalus bubalis (water buffalo), 4804 nucleotides long. RefSeq lists it as uncharacterized. The transcript is spliced from 7 exons. Lineage: Eukaryota; Metazoa; Chordata; Mammalia; Artiodactyla; Bovidae. The record is from RefSeq and is a predicted model, not a curated record.